GUGGAAACAGGUUGAGGGGCAGUCCACUUGUUGCCCCGAGCAGGGGCUUGUUUCCCUCUGUUGCUGUCUUCGAGGCCUCGGCAGUUAAUCUUGGUUUACUCUGCUCCUCAUACACUUCAUCACUAGGACCCUUGUGGGGCAAAUAGCCUUUGGGGAGGGUGUAAAGGGGAAACGGAAGGGGGAGAAACAGCUGAGAGGGCCUGGAGCUUUUGUUUUCACUGGGCUCUGGUUCAACUUCCUUUGUGUGGGGGGUAGAAGGACUCCAGGUCCCUGCUUGCUUCCAGGGGAAAGCAUUUUUGGCUCAAAACUCCCUUCCUAACCAUGGUACACACAGACUACACUCCUCCUCCAGGAUGCUUUGAUUGGGAUCUUAGAGCAGGAGUCAGACGCUGAACCUCGGGUGGCUCAAAUAACCCAAGGAAAAGCUUUGUGUUUUCUUCCUAAAGGCAGCAUCUGAAGGUUCAGCAGGCGGUGGGAACAGAAGGCAGUGCAAACCCACACAGUGUACACACAGCACGUUUCUGCAGUACGGAGGUUCCAGAGUUCCAGCAACAGUCUCCUCACUGUGUGUGGCUGUGUGGCGAGAUAUUCCUUCAGGGGAGCAGGAUUCUCUGCCAGGCUGGCGGGGCAGAAAUGAUGCCUGGGGCAUAUAUCUGGACUGCACUAAUGUUGGUUUGAGCUUGGAGUUGUUGGCUUUGUCCUGGGGCGGGUGGCUUCAGAUCUUCUUGAUUCAGUGCCGACCUGUGCUUGGAAUGCGGAAAAUAGGGAGCGGGAGGUUGAUUUUUGGGUGCAGUUGAAGCCAGGAGGAGCCUGCCUGCCUGUCUGUCUGCAAGAUCUGUGUUUCUCUGAAGGCUCCCUGACCUCCCACCAAGCUGCAAUGGGAUCGCUUCUGUAUGGAGGAGUGCUUUUUCCUCCAUCUCAAGCAGGGAUCUGGCUUGGUGCAAGAAGUGUGACAAGGCCCCGGGUGUUGGAGGACACAGCUGCAAGGGAGAACGUGGGCAGGAUGCAAGCAGCUGGGAGGCUGGGGGAUUCCUAUCAUAGCAGACCUCAGCCAGGGAUGAAGGUGCUUAACCACAUCGAGGGAUUAGUUAUAAGCAGAAAACCUUUGCGUUCGUAAGGCACUUCAAGUGACAUUUUGUGAAUCCAGAGGUGAAGGGGGUGUCCCUCAGCACAGGGAGAAGCUGUAGAGCUGCUCUGUCCACCUGUCCUGGCCUCAGCUGUCCUAUGCUGGCACGGGGGGAUGAUGCCUGCACUGAGGAGUUCCCCUGAAGACUCAGGAUGCUGAUGAGACCAGAGGAAUCCAGGUUCAAAGUGCAUGACCUCUCUCGUCCUACGUAUGGAGCAUAUCAUUUCUCUUUUCUGGCCAAGCACACAGUGAGCUCAUUGUGGCUGCCUGUGUACAGCCAUUCUGCAGCGAUUAUGUGGCUUCAGCACUGAGGUGUUCUCUCCAUGGAGCUGCUUGAUAACACGGAGCUGCUAUGGCAGAGCUGUGUCCUCGGGGAGCUCUCACCGCAGUCGAGGAGGAAACACACGGGCAAAGUCAAAUGUGCUAAGGAAUGAGCUGUCCUGAAU
This is a long non-coding RNA of Gallus gallus (chicken), 1572 nucleotides long. Lineage: Eukaryota; Metazoa; Chordata; Aves; Galliformes; Phasianidae. The record is from Ensembl.